GGACAAAAUCAUGAUAGCAGAAAUUGCCCUCUAAAGUUGUCAAGUGAUUCAAUGGAACAAGAUAACAUUGAUGAAGCCACGGAUGAUUUAGAAGAUUCAUUUGAGGAAGAUGAAGUUCUCACUAUU
Molecule: long non-coding RNA, 126 nt
Organism: Asparagus officinalis (garden asparagus)
Lineage: Eukaryota; Viridiplantae; Streptophyta; Magnoliopsida; Asparagales; Asparagaceae
Exons: 3
Source: RefSeq, a predicted model, not a curated record